This 466-nucleotide ribosomal RNA is filed under the name uncultured bacterium. Its description in RNAcentral is "partial 16S ribosomal RNA". It matches the Rfam family "Bacterial small subunit ribosomal RNA", at positions 28 to 507 of the family's 1533-position model. The record is from RNAcentral.
GACGAACGCUGGCGGCGUGCUUAACACAUGCAAGUCGAACGGAAAGGCCCUGCUUGCAGGGUACUCGAGUGGCGAACGGGUGAGUAACACUUGGGUGAUCUGCCCUGCACUUCGGGAUACGCCUUGGAAACUGGGUCUACUACCGGAUAGGAGCCAUUUUUUGUGUGAUGGUUGGAAAGUUUUUUUCGGUUUAGGAUGAGCUCGCGGCCUAUCCGCUUGUUGGCGGGGUAAUGCCCUACCAAGGCGGCGACGGGUAGCCGGCCUGAGAGGGUGGACGGCCAGAUUGGGAGUGGGAUAGGGCCCAGACGUCGGCGGAAGGCAGCAACAGGGAUUAUUGCAAAAACGGCGCAAGAAUGAUGCAGCGACGACACGAGGGAGAAGACGGCCAGCGAGUAGUAAGGUCCUGACGCAAGAGACGAAGCGUUUUGUUACAGGACCUAGAUGAGAAGCAGCGGCUAACUACAUG